This 500-nucleotide ribosomal RNA is filed under the name uncultured bacterium. RNAcentral's name for it is "partial 16S ribosomal RNA". It matches the Rfam family "Bacterial small subunit ribosomal RNA", at positions 30 to 523 of the family's 1533-position model. The record is from RNAcentral.
AUUGAACGCUGGCGGAAUGCUUUACACAUGCAAGUCGAACGGCAGCACGGACUUCGGUCUGGUGGCGAGUGGCGAACGGGUGAGUAAUACAUCGGAACGUGCCCGGUCGUGGGGGAUAACGUAGCGAAAGCUACGCUAAUACCGCAUACGAUCUAAGGAUGAAAGCGGGGGAUCGCAAGACCUCGCGCGAUUGGAGCGGCCGAUGGCAGAUUAGGUAGUUGGUGGGGUAAAGGCUCACCAAGCCGACGAUCUGUAGCUGGUCUGAGAGGACGACCAGCCAAACUGGGACUGAGACACGGACCAGACUCCUACGGGAGGCAGCAGUGGGGAAUUUUGGACAAUGGGCGCAAGCCUGAUCCAGCCAUUCCGCGUGCAGGAUGAAGGCCCUCGGGUUGUAAACUGCUUUUGUACGGAACGAAAAGGCUCUGGUUAAUACCUGGGGCUCAUGACGGUACCGUAAGAAUAAGCACCGGCUAACUACGUGCCAGCCGCCGCCGUAA